RNAcentral lists this ribosomal RNA (450 nucleotides) under Yarrowia deformans. RNAcentral describes it as "partial 26S ribosomal RNA". It matches the Rfam family "Eukaryotic large subunit ribosomal RNA", at positions 62 to 542 of the family's 3401-position model. Lineage: Eukaryota; Fungi; Ascomycota; Dipodascomycetes; Dipodascales. The record is from RNAcentral.
AAACCAACAGGGAUUGCCUCAGUAACGGCGAGUGAAGCGGCAAAAGCUCAAAUUUGAAACCCUCGGGAUUGUAAUUUGAAGAUUUGGCAUUGGAGAAAGCUAACCCAAGUUACUUGGAAUAGUACGUCAUAGAGGGUGACAACCCCGUCUGGCUAACCGUUCUCCAUGUAUUGCCUUAUCAAAGAGUCGAGUUGUUUGGGAAUGCAGCUCAAAGUGGGUGGUAAACUCCAUCUAAAGCUAAAUACUGGUGAGAGACCGAUAGCGAACAAGUACUGUGAAGGAAAGGUGAAAAGAACUUUGAAAAGAGAGUGAAAUAGUAUGUGAAAUUGUUGAUAGGGAAGGAAAUGAGUGGAGAGUGGUUUAGGUUUCAGCCUUCUUUCGAGGGGGUGCACUACCAACGCCGAGUCAUUGAUAGCGAGACAGGGGUUAUAAACGGACGGCACUUGUGCU